RNAcentral lists this ribosomal RNA (292 nucleotides) under uncultured bacterium. Its description in RNAcentral is "partial 16S ribosomal RNA". RNAcentral also lists the same sequence under 1 other name. The record is from RNAcentral.
GGACUACUGGGGUAUCUAAUCCUGUUUGAUCCCCACGCUUUCGUGCCUCAGCGUCAAUAACUGUGUAGCGAGCUGCCUUCGCAAUUGGUAUUCUAUGUCAUAUCUAAGCAUUUCACCGCUACAUGACAUAUUCUGCUCACCUCCACAGCAUUCAAGAUAGAUAGUAUCAACGGCAGUUCCCAAGUUGAGCUCGGGGAUUUCACCACUGACUUACCUACCCGCCUACGCACCCUUUAAACCCAGUGAAUCCGGAUAACGCUUGCACCCUCCGUAUUACCGCGGCUGCUGGCAC